Molecule: ribosomal RNA, 929 nt
Filed under: Exobasidium vaccinii
Lineage: Eukaryota; Fungi; Basidiomycota; Exobasidiomycetes; Exobasidiales; Exobasidiaceae
Description: LSU rRNA
Rfam family: Eukaryotic large subunit ribosomal RNA
Source: RNAcentral
GCAUAUCAAUAAGCGGAGGAAAAGAAACUAACAAGGAUUCCCCUAGUAACGGCGAGUGAAGCGGGAUGAGCUCAAAUUUGAAAGCUGGCAGUAAUGUCCGCGUUGUAAUCUCGAGAGUUGUUUUCCGUGCUGGACCGAGUACAAGUUCCUUGGAAUAGGAUGUCAUAGAGGGUGAAAAUCCCGUACUUGACUUGGACGCCCAGUGCUUUGUGAUACAUCUUCGAAGAGUCGAGUUGUUUGGGAAUGCAGCUCAAAAUGGGUGGUAAAUUCCAUCUAAAGCUAAAUAUUGGGGAGAGACCGAUAGCGAACAAGUACCGUGAGGGAAAGAUGAAAAGCACUUUGGAAAGAGAGUUAAACAGUACGUGAAAUUGUCAAAAGGGAAGCAUUUGAAGUCAGACGUGUAUUUCAGUAUUCAGCCUUGCUUUUGCUUGGUGUUUUGCUGUUGUACAGGCCAACAUCAGUUUUGAGUGACGGAUAAGGGUAGGAGGAAUGUGGCACCCUCGGGUGUGUUAUAGCCUCUUACUGGAUACGUCGUUUGGGACUGAGGAAAGCAGCGCGCCGUAAGGCAGACCUUCGGGUACUUUCGCGCUUAGGAUGUUGGCGUAAUGGCUUUAAGUGACCCGUCUUGAAACACGGACCAAGGAGUCUAACAUGUCUGCGAGUCUUUGGGUGGCAAACCCGUGGGCGCAAUGAAAGUGAAUGCAGGUGGGAUCCGCAAGGAGCACCAUCGACCGAUCCAGAUCUUCUGUGACGGAUUUGAGUAAGAGCAUAUAUGUUGGGACCCGAAAGAUGGUGAACUAUGCCUGAAUAGGGUGAAGCCAGAGGAAACUCUGGUGGAGGCUCGUAGCGGUUCUGACGUGCAAAUCGAUCGUCAAAUUUGGGUAUAGGGGGCGAAAGACUAAUCGAACCAUCUAGUAGCUGGUUCCUGC